GAGAGAGACAUGCGCGCAUAUCAAUAAGCGGAGGAAAAGAAACUAACAAGGAUUCCCUUAGUAACGGCGAGUGAAGCGGGAAGAGCUCAAAUUUGAAAUCUUCAAGGUACUACCUUGACGAAUUGUAGUUUAUAGAAGUGUUUUCUGUUAGUGGAGUGGCAAAAGUUCUUUGGAAUAGGACAUCAUAGAGGGUGAGAAUCCCGUAUUUGGUCACUCCUCCUAGCGUUGUGAUACACUUUCAACGAGUCGGAUUGUUUGGGAAUGCAGUCCAAAAUGGGUGGUAAAUUUCAUCUAAAGCUAAAUAUUGGCGAGAGACCGAUAGCGAACAAGUACCGUGAGGGAAAGAUGAAAAGAACUUUGAAAGAGAGUUAAACAGUACGUGAAAUUGUCAAAAGGGAAGCGUUUGACACCAGUGUUGUUUUUCCGAAAAUCAAUUACGAAUGUUUUGUUUUUGAGGAGUUAUGACUUCAUCGGCUUGCUCCUUUCUUUACGAAACUUUCUUAAUGCACUUUUCGGUUAACAAGUCAACAUCAAUUUCUUUUGUUGUAAAAGGGUAUGAGGAAGGUGGCUUUCUUUUCGGAGAAAGUGUUUAUAGCCUUGUACCUCUGCAAUCGGAGAGAUUGAGGUCUGCAGCGUAGAUCCUUCGGGGUUAGAUACACUUGUGCUAAGCUAUAGCCUUGUAUAGACAACUUGUUGACUAUGCUCAGUCAUGUAGCUUACUCGCUUGUAUGUAUUUUACCUACGCUUAGGAUGUUGAUCUGUAGUGCGUGCGC
RNAcentral lists this ribosomal RNA (773 nucleotides) under uncultured Neocallimastigales. RNAcentral describes it as "partial large subunit ribosomal RNA". It matches the Rfam family "Eukaryotic large subunit ribosomal RNA", at positions 23 to 647 of the family's 3401-position model. The record is from RNAcentral. Lineage: Eukaryota; Fungi; Neocallimastigomycota; Neocallimastigomycetes; Neocallimastigales.